UCUAGAGAUGAGUUUCGCCAUAUUGCCCAGGCUGGUCUCAAACUCCUGAGCUCAAACAAUCUGCUGACCUCGGCCUUCCACAUACUGGGAUUACAGGCGUUAGCCACCACACACGGGCAACUUACCUUAAGAUCAAGCCUCAUUUAAGAUUUUCAAAAAAUUGGAAGAUAGAAUAUUAGAUUUUGUCAUAUUUUUCUAAUAAUAAAUCAGAGAAGCCAGUGAUUGAUUAAAUAAAUAAAUAACAAUGGACUCCAGGUUCUUCAGUUUUGGAACUCGGACUGGCUCUUCUUCCUCCUCAGCCUGCAGACUGCCUACUGUGGGACCUCACAAUCAUGUAUUCCAUCUUGAAGAAAAGAAGCAAGAAAGGAAGAAAAUAUAAACAAAUGACUAUUUCCUCCCCCUCAAAGAAGUUGAAUUUAAAAAGAAUGCAGCAGUUGCACACCAAGCUUCUAAGGAUGCAAGAGUAUCAGCCAAUGAUACCCAGACACCUCCACGAUUCUCCUUUAGACUUCGCUGGACGUCAGUUCCUUAUGGACAUCCUCUUCUCCCUGAGUCCCAUCCUCCAGCUAUGCCCAACAAUUUAAGUACCAUAACCCAAGACAAUGACUCAGAGCAUCCCCUGACAAGCCAACAACCUUAGGAAUGGUCAGUUCUAUGCCCAGGGUAGCAGAAAGUAGUUGGAAGAUGAGACCUCUACCCAAAUAGCACAGAUUUGUCACUGUUGUUCUGUCAGGAGGGAAAUGUGUAGCCCUAAGGAGUUAAAAGAAAAUUGAAAAAUGGGUUUUGCUGGCAGGAACAGAAACAGGGUAGAGGGGAGCAAAUGUUCUAAGAAACAGGGUCAACCUCAAAUGGCUCACUAGCAUCUAAGCAUCCUUUUACAAGCACCUAGCUCACAGCCCACCUGCAUGCUGUCUGCAAGUACUCAGCUUAAGCAGCACGACCUUAAAAAAUUUUCCUCCAGCCCCUGCCUCUUUGCAGGCAGCUUUCCCUCUGCUGUCUUGCCUACUGCUCUCUUGCAACAUAUUUUCCCCUUUUCUCGAAACAAAUCUGCCUUUCUAAACUCAUUACUGUCUUAGUAAAUUCUUUUAUCACCUAUGUGCCGGCCUCAGACACUCAGUGACCACCACAGCAUAUGCAUGUAUUAUGUAUAUGUAUGUAUCUUGUGUAUAUUUGUAUCUUAUGUAUUUAUGACAUUAUAUAAUCUUGCAUAUAUACCUAAUAAAUAUACAGUAAGUACUCACUUAGUGUCAUCAAUGGGUCUUGGAAACUGUGACUUUAAGUGAAGUGUUGUAUAAUGAAACGAAUUUACUACAGGCUGAUUGAUAUAAAGAAGAGUCAAGUUACUCCGGCAUAUUUCUAGUCAAAAAACAUCAUGAAACUUCUAAAUAAAGGUGAAAGCCUUCUAAUAUUUAACACUGAAAUAAAUGGGAGCUAUACAUAUAUUUAAGAAAGAUAAAUAAAAGCAAGUAGGAUGAUUAUUUACCCAAUUAUUUCAGUUCAGAAUUGUGGGUGGCCAGAGCCUAACCAGGCAAUUCGAGACACAAGAGAAACCAAUCCUGGACAGGACACUAUCCCAUUGCAGAGUAUACUCUCACACACUUCCACAUUCUUACAUGUGGGGACAAUUUAGACACUCGUCCAAUUAACUGAAUGUGCAUAUCUUUGGGAUGUGGAAGGAAAUAUAAGUACUUGGGUAAUGCCCAUGCAAAGAUAAGGAGAAGGUUCAAACUUCACGAAGACAGUGGCCACAGCUGAAGACGAUAUUUUUUAUCAUAAACAUUCUAUCUUAAUAACGUUGAACAAUAUGAGGUUGAGGACCUGCUGUAUAUAUUUUAUAAAUAUAAGUAUAUAAACACACACAUGUGCACUUAUAUAUGCACACACAAAAACACGUACACACAUACACACUUACAGCUUAUAAACCAAAGUCAACAUCUAAAAUCCUGAAUCCUUUCCCAAUCAAUGCCACUGAUUACCAGCAGAGCCUAAUAUUUUUUUCCUGAUGUUAGCUUAGCUAAUAAUAUCUCAAUUAAUAAGAAAGGAAAGGAAAGAAAGCCAUUUUGUAACCAAGAGAUUUUUCAAAGUUUUGAUAAUUUUUCUUUGACUUUCUAAAAGUAAACAGAAUAAAAUCUGUCUUAACAGUCUCAUUACUAAAAUGUCUUAAUAGCCUCAUAAGCCAUGUGAUGUUCCACAUAAGCUGUCUCCAGUUUAUUCCCUUUCAUCCUGCCCUGCAUUCACUAACCUCAGAAAUGCUUGACAUAAACGAAAUUCAACCCCUACUAAGAGUUUUUGCAGCCCCAUUUCCUUCAUUUUCCACCCUAUCCCUCCAAUUUUAAGGCUGUCCCCAAAUUUUAAUAUUACCUUCUCAUGGAGAUCUUUUGCAAUCACCUUGGUAAAAGCAAUACACCCAGGGAUUUCCUAUAACACUAUACUAUUUGACUUACACAACAUUAAUUAAGAUGUAAAGUAAUCUUAAUUCACGUAUCUAUCAUCUGUAUUGACAAUAAAGGAUAACUGAGUAAUUUUUUUAAGAAUGGUCUCUUUAU
This 2546-nucleotide long non-coding RNA is filed under the name Homo sapiens (human). RNAcentral's name for it is "HSALNT0147948". The record is from RNAcentral. Lineage: Eukaryota; Metazoa; Chordata; Mammalia; Primates; Hominidae.